ACAACUGGCCACAUUGAUUGACAAUUUUCUUGCCAGCAUUUAUCCCGUCUUUAAUCAAACAACACGUGCAGUUUUGAUACGUGAGGCACGUGACGUCCUCUUGACGACCUAUCACGGAUGUUUAACAACAUUUCAACAACAAUUUCUAUGUAAAUUUGCCGGAAUCGCGAACAUCUUAAGGGAAAGGCAUGGCAUCGGUGAGGCUUUAAUUUGGAGUCAAGGAUGGCCUCUAGUAACACCUAUUGGCGAAGUUAUACUUCAUUUGGGGGGCCUUGAUGAUAAGCACGUGAAACCUGCCGAGAUUUAUUUAUGUGUUAAACCAGGUGAAAAUAAGUCCGAACCAAAAUUGUAUGCCAUUUGGCGUACACCAACGCUAAAUUAUAUUGCCAAAACUCGAACGAUAUCAACAACAGCGACAACAUCAUCAUCGCCGGCGUCAACUGUAACGA
Musca vetustissima is the source of this 449-nucleotide long non-coding RNA. RefSeq lists it as uncharacterized. Lineage: Eukaryota; Metazoa; Arthropoda; Insecta; Diptera; Muscidae. The transcript is spliced from 3 exons. The record is from RefSeq and is a predicted model, not a curated record.